RNAcentral lists this long non-coding RNA (328 nucleotides) under Elaeis guineensis (African oil palm). RNAcentral describes it as "long non-coding RNA (EGUI_LNC001101)". The record is from RNAcentral. Lineage: Eukaryota; Viridiplantae; Streptophyta; Magnoliopsida; Arecales; Arecaceae.
GUUAGACAUGUUGAUAUGCUAACCUGAAUAUAAUCAGUUGGAUAUCAGAUCUGCUGAUUUAAAAAAGAUCUAAACCUAAAUCUUCUCACUAAAUAUUAAGUCUAUAGAUCUUCCAUCAUUGUAGAGAUGUGGGUGCCUUCCUAGCGUUGAUCGUUCUCGACUGGUUACAGUGAUUUGGUUGCAUCGAGAAGGUACAACCACUUUAUUGAUAUUUGAUGUCUCGGGGUAGAGAUGGGUUUGGGUCUAAUAACUGUUAGGUGAGGAUCUCAAUGAUGGUUUUGUACCUGUUGGUGAACGAUGGAUCUGACUUAACUAAGAAAUAUGCCAA